Molecule: long non-coding RNA, 2770 nt
Organism: Saccostrea echinata
Lineage: Eukaryota; Metazoa; Mollusca; Bivalvia; Ostreida; Ostreidae
Exons: 4
Source: RefSeq, a predicted model, not a curated record
AACAUAUCAGAUAGAUGAUUAGUUUCAUGGAGUUUUUGGAGACUUAAAACAAAAAAGGCACACUGAUUACAAAUUUAACCUUAAUUAAUUAUGAAAGGCUGAUGUUUGAUUAUAUCAAAAUCUGUAAAAUAUUGGUGGGAGAUUCAAAGGUGUAAAAGAAAUUCAAAGGUAAAGAUUAGUUUUUUCUACAUUUUGAAGCAUUUUUUGCUUCCUAAUUACUUCCCUUGAACUACUCUCUAACGUUUGGAGGUACAAUGUGUAGUAGUAAACAAUAAAACAUGGUAUGAACAUUUUCUGGCGAAAGACCUCAUCAAAGUUUUACAGUCUGGAAGAAGAAAAGAAGCCCAGACAUCUAAAACAAUGAAGACAGAAGGAUUUACCAAAUAAGAUGAAUAAAGAAAAAAUGAGACCAGUACACCAAAACAGGACCAAAUAGGCCAUGACUAUAGAAGUUUGGAUGCAUUCUGCAAGAAAAUGGACAGCUUUUUUUCUUUACAAGGUUGAAAAUUUCACCUCGAGCAUAUUUGAGUAGGGAUGUCAUAUCAUUUAGGUUUAAAACCAGGAAAGUGAAAGCUGAACUCCAACCCACGUCAACAUACCGGUACCCAUUGUCUUCAAGAUAUCAAUGUUUGAGCUGUCAAAGUUCAAAUGUAACAGGAACAUGUUUAUUCUGAAGAAAGACAUAUGAGGACAUCUUCAAAUCUGAAUGCCCAUAUUACAGUUUGUUUUAGAACUUAUCAAGCUUCAUCCUGUACCUUGCCAGAAAAACUCAACUCAAAACAGAGACAAGAUUUACAGAGCAGCAAAAACAGUAUAACUUGUCACGUAAAUUUAAUGCUGUAUGGUUGAGAAUACCCUAAAGGUGGCAUAUAUAAAAAAAAAGUUUAAAAAAUUCUCUUUUGUUUUUGGAAUUUAUAUUUACAUGAAUAAAGAGAAGGAAAUUGACUAAGCUGAUGUGAUGAGAUGUUGGCAGGAACCUAAAAUGAAACUUAAAUGGGAAAGUGAAAGGAAGAACUUCCUUAAAAUGAUACAUGUGGGGGACAAUAUUUUACAAUUUUCAACUGGCUUUACAGAAUACAGAUGAUCCACUGCAAACCUUAUUAUUAAUUAUAUGUCAAACACUUUGUUUAAAUUUGUAUGUAUAAUUUUCUCAUGUACUAAAAAGUAAAAUUAUGCAUGUAUUAUUAAUCUGUUGUUUAAGGUCCCAAAAAACAGUAUAUAGGGUUCCCUAUGUCCACCUGUCUUUCUGUGUAUCAGUUUAUCAACAGUUCAAAUGGAUGUGCAUUACACUAAUGCAUGCUUUAACAAAAUUCUGACAGGCAGAGGGAAUCUUUUUGCAGACUUCAAAAUUGAUCAAUCCUGUGAGAGUAAUAUUUUUAUUUGAGAAUUAAUUGUAUUUUAGAAUUCAGUGUUUGGAAACUGAUGCAGACGUUUUAGCUCACCUGAGCCGAAGGCUCAAGUGAGCUUUUCUGAUCAAAAUUUGUCCAUUGUCUGUCGUCCUUGUUGUCGUCAUCGGCGUUGUUGUCAUUGUUGUCGUUGUAAACUUUUCACAAUUUCAUCUUCUUCUCCAGAACUACUGGGCCAAUUUCAACCAAACUUGGCACAGAGUAUCCUUGGGUGAAGGGGAUUCAAGUUUGUUCAAAUGAAGGGCCACGCCUUCUUCCAAGGGGAGAUAAUCAUGAAUUCAUGAAAAAUUAAUGAUAUCAUUUAUAAAUCUUCUUCUCAAGAACCACUGUGCUUGAAAAUAUGAAACUUAUGUAGAAGCAUCCUCAGGUAGUGUAGAUUCAAGUUUGUUCAAAUCAUGACCCCCGGGGGUAGGGUGGGGCCACAAUGGGCGAUCAAAGUUUUACAUAGGAAUAUAUGGGAAAAUUCUUUAAAAAUCUUCUUCUCAAGAACAGCAAAGCCAUGAUUGGUCAUAUUUAUAUGGAAGCAUCCUCAGAUAGUGUAAAUUCAAGUUUGUUCAAAUCAUGACCCCCGGGGGUAGGGUGGGGCCACAAUGGGCGAUCAAAGUUUUACAUAGGAAUAUAUAGGAAAAUUCUUUAAAAAUCUUCUUCUCAAGAACAGCAAAGCCAUGAUUGGUCAUAUUUAUAUGGAAGCAUCCUCAGGUAGUGUAGAUUCAAGUUUGUUCAAAUCAUGACCCCCGGGGGUAGGGUGGGGCCAUAAUGGGCGAUCAAAGUUUUACAUAGGAAUAUAUAGGAAAAUUCUUUAAAAAUCUUCUUCUCAAGAACAGCAAAGCCAUGAUUGGUCAUAUUUAUAUGGAAGCAUCCUCAGAUAGUGUAGAUUCAAGUUUGUUCAAAUCAUGACCUCCGGGGGUAGGGUGGGGCCACAAUGGGCGAUCAAAGUUUUACAUAGGAAUAUAUAGGAAAACUCUUUAAAAAUCUUCUUCUCAAGAACAGCAAAGCCAUGAUUGGUCAUAUUUAUAUGGAAGCAUCCUCAGAUAGUGUAGAUUCAAGUUUUUUCAAAUCAUUACCCCCCAGGGGUAGGGUGGGGCCACAAUGGGCGAUCCAAGUUUUAAAUAAGAAUACAUAGGAAAAAUCUGUAAAAAUCUUGUUCACAAGAACAACAAAGCCAUGAUUGGUCAUAUUUACAUGGAAGCAUCCUCAAGUAGUGCAGGUUUAAGUUUGUUCCAAUCAUCACCCCCGAGGGUAAGGUGGAGCCACAAUGGGGGAUUAAAGUUUUACAUAAAAUACAUAGGAAAAAUUUGUAAAAAAUUUUUUCUCAAGAACAGCAAAGUCAUGAUUGUUUUUUUUUAUGGGUGCAUCCUCAGGUA